Molecule: microRNA precursor, 74 nt
Filed under: Nomascus leucogenys (northern white-cheeked gibbon)
Lineage: Eukaryota; Metazoa; Chordata; Mammalia; Primates; Hylobatidae
Description: miRNA (ENSNLEG00000024779.2)
Rfam family: mir-3116 microRNA precursor family
Source: RNAcentral
CUUUAUUGAGUCCCUACUAUGUUCCAGGCACUGGGUAUCAUAGGUGCCUGGAACAUAGUAGGGACUCAGUAAAG